CUACGGGUGGCUGCAGUGGGGAAUAUUGCACAAUGGAGGAAACUCUGAUGCAGCGACGCCGCGUGGAGGAUGACACUUUUCGGAGCGUAAACUCCUUUUAUAUAGGAAGAAGAUGACGGUACUAUAUGAAUAAGCGCCGGCUAACUCCGUGCCAGCAGCCGCGGUAAUACGGAGGGCGCAAGCGUUACUCGGAAUCACUGGGCGUAAAGAGCGUGUAGGCGGAUUAAAAAGUCAGAAGUGAAAUCCUAUAGCUUAACUAUAGAACUGCUUCUGAAACUCUUAAUCUAGAAUAUGGGAGAGGUAGAUGGAAUUUCUGGUGUAGGGGUAAAAUCCGUAGAGAUCAGAAGGAAUACCGAUUGCGAAGGCGAUCUACUAGAGCAUUAUUGACGCUAAGGCGUGAAAGCGUGGGGAGCAAACAGGAUUAGAUACCCGGGUAGUC
This 439-nucleotide ribosomal RNA is filed under the name uncultured bacterium. RNAcentral describes it as "partial 16S ribosomal RNA". It matches the Rfam family "Bacterial small subunit ribosomal RNA", at positions 339 to 795 of the family's 1533-position model. The record is from RNAcentral.